AGAAAAGAAGAACAAACUUGUGGGUGAAGGGGAAGGUCUUCCAUGUCAAAGUAUGGCAGACGUCCUCGCUUGCCGAAUCUGCAAUCAGGAACCCAACGGAAAUGGAUGAUUGGAAUUAACAAUCGACGCGAUUACAUCAUGCGUGAAAAGUUGAAAUAGCUGAAGUAUAUAAUAGGUGAGUGCAACUAGACAAUCAUUCAAACAGUUCCGUGCAUUCCGCAUGCUAAAGCCAAAUGGUUUUUGCUGAUCUUUUAGCAAUUUGUGCGUGCAAAAUAGGAAAGAAACCUUUGCGGGAGAAUCGCUAGCUGUGAGUUAUAUGUGACUGGUGUGAAGAAUUGAGCGGGAAAAAUCAAAGUCUUUGGAUUUGAAUUUGAGUUGAUACCUGGGACGAACGAGUGAGUUGUCGUAGCGCCGGUCGAGUUGCUUCAGCUGCAGUAACUGGACAAUCUUACCGCCCCUGAUACUGAACAUACGCUAACACAGUUUCAAUGUUAAAACAAUGGACGGCUCUGCUGAGGUUCAUUUGAGAGCAAAAAGGAAGAGUCUCAAAAAACACAAUGAAGAGGAUCAAACUAAUCACUUUGAAUUAGGAUAUACAUGCAAUCGAUGACGGUACACGUCACCUGUCGAUGAAUGUUUCAAUAGAAAAGGUCAAAACGACCACACACUAAGAAAUUUGAAUUUUGUAUUAUACCUGGGCCGGGCGGCUUGACCGUAGACUUUGUCCAAUCCUUGAAGAUAUUUGAUGGCAUCAGCCAUGGCCGUCAUUUCUCCGCCUUCACCUCCGCUCAUGACGUCUCCGCCAUCGGCUUUGGUGGUAGUGACGCAAACGGCCAACACGACCAUCACCACCAGGAAGACCAAAGCGGCCAACGAACAGGAGCGGGGAAGGAAUUGCUGGAUGCUGCUGCUGGACAUUUUGUGGUUGGGUGAGUGUAGUGGAAGAAGAAGAUGAUGAAGGAGGUAGAAGAGGCAAGUGUCGACUGUGUCCUGACUGGGCCAUUUGGCACCUUUUUAUACCCGUUUCCCAUCCCUCUGGUCCAGCGGCGUGUGCCCACCGGUUGACGCAGUCGCGGAUAAAGGAUUGGAAAAGUCUGUCAGCCGCAGGAUUCCCGCUCAGUUGCAACUGUUUUUGUUUUCCCAACUGCUACGCAAAUGAAGAAUUGCGAACAUGACAACUCAAUGGUAUAAUAACCGCAGCUGCCAAUGGCGUCGGAAGACGGCCACAUAUUUACAGACAACUCGAGCCGGAACUGUUGCAGAGUGCGUACAAGAGAACACACACAGUGUACGCAUUUGACAUUUUUUCUUUUUUAGUUCUAGACAUUGGACACAGCACUUGGAUUUCGGUGAACGUGAAGACCACACAAAUCCUUUUGGGUUGGUGGCGGCGGCUUUGCCGGGAUGGAUUUGACACUCUCCAACACAACAAACCACUUCUCCCACAUACACCAAGAUGUAACUUUUGUGUCCGUUUCGUCGCGUUAAACUGAAAGGGGAAAAAUAAAGUCCCGGAGAAUUUUAAAAAGAAACCAGUCGAUAGUGCCAAGGUUGGCCGUUUUUUCUAACUUUCUUUCCCGGCCGAUAUUAUUAUAUAUCCAGUGUGUGUGUGUGUGCGUAAUAUUACGAAAGAGUCGGGGUGGGGCAAGCGUUUGACGGGCAAAGGAAGUCAUAGUAGAGAGAUAAAUGGUUCAAUCAGUACAACACGAACCUACAAACGCGUUUAUGAAGUCGAAGCUGAGCCGCUGCCCAUAAAUUGGGAGCCUUAGAAAAAGGGAUCCCGAAAAAUCCCGCGGGGAAACAAACACAUCUCGGAUGUCAGCCAACGUCAAUACGUUUUUUCCGUAGCCUUUUUUCUUUUUAAAAGUAAUAGACGCGCCUGAAACAACC
Long non-coding RNA from Daphnia pulicaria, 1890 nucleotides. RefSeq lists it as uncharacterized. The transcript is spliced from 5 exons. The record is from RefSeq and is a predicted model, not a curated record. Lineage: Eukaryota; Metazoa; Arthropoda; Branchiopoda; Diplostraca; Daphniidae.